GCCCAGAUGGCGGAAUUGGUAGACGCGCUACGUUCAGGUCGUAGUGUCCUUAUGGACGUGGAGGUUCGAGUCCUCUUCUGGGCACCA
RNAcentral lists this transfer RNA (87 nucleotides) under Alphaproteobacteria bacterium. RNAcentral describes it as "tRNA-Leu". It matches the Rfam family "tRNA". Rfam says of the family: Transfer RNA (tRNA) molecules are approximately 80 nucleotides in length. Their secondary structure includes four short double-helical elements and three loops (D, anti-codon, and T loops). RNAcentral also lists the same sequence under 4 other names. Lineage: Bacteria; Pseudomonadati; Pseudomonadota; Alphaproteobacteria. The record is from RNAcentral.